Anas platyrhynchos (mallard) is the source of this 4134-nucleotide long non-coding RNA. RefSeq lists it as uncharacterized. The record is from RefSeq and is a predicted model, not a curated record. Lineage: Eukaryota; Metazoa; Chordata; Aves; Anseriformes; Anatidae.
UUCACUGAUCGGAAAUGUCUUGCCCAAAAGCAAUUCCCGCUGGAAAAAGUCAAAAGGGUUCCUGGCAUUAAAACGACCUUGCGUCAUUCCUGAUGAAAUUAGCAGCGCUGCAUGUUUAGAGACUUGCUAUGGAUGCACUUUGGUCACAGUAAGAAGUCAGAGAUUUGGGGUCUAACCCCCGUUUGAGCAGGAGCCGUCUGCUUUCACUAGCUGCGAAUCCCGAGACCAGCACUCGAAAGCGUCUUAGACCCGCAGUCCAUUUUUUGCUUGUCUUUAAGUGCAAGCGAUGGGAAUUGCUAACCUCGGCUAAGAAAAUUUCAUUUCCCCCAUCCUGCUAAACGGUUCUGGUCGACAUAUGUUUGUUAUCAGAGAGAAGUGCUAUGAACACAGAGCCAUUUUCUUAGCAGCUCUUUGACUCUGUGUUACCAUAGUCCCACACGGCAUUGGUCCUUUCCCGUUGGGAAGUCAUGAAUAAGAGACUAUGAAGCUUGCACGUCAGAUCUUCCUCAAUUAAUCCACCAUUAGCAUGUUUGGGAUCCUCUACUGGAUGGUUAACAGCAGCUUUGGUAACUGUAUGCUGUCCAUACCCAAUUAUGCUCUGCUAAAAAUGAACUCUGCAGAACAACCUUCCUGAGCUGUCAGUGUCUCCCGUUUUCCUAUUUUAACGCUUGUGUGUAGUGGCAGGCGACAGAUGGUGUAGAUCAGAUCGAUUUGAUUGCAUUAGGCGAUUUUUUUUUCCUCCUCUCCCCCCCGACUCCUUUUCUGGAAGCCCACAUUCAGCUGAGAAGCGAUCGCCGGGGACAUGGGAAGCAAGAGCAGCCGCCGAUGUGUGAAAGCAACGAGACACGGCCAGCCAGAGGCGCCGGGGUCCCUUCCCGGGGUUUGUUAACAUGGUAAUCCGGCACCAGGAGAGAAAGCUGCUUUCUGCUGCCCAGAGCCCGUUCCCCAUCACACAUCAGAUGACUCCCUGGUUUUACACACAGUUGGAGUUCUGCUUGAAACCUGGAUUUAAAGGGGAUCUGUUGCUGCGUGUGACAUCCCUCGCGAGCUCCCAGGGAGAGCUGGUGGAGCAUACAGCUAGGGAAUAGGAUGCCGGAGAAGCGCGGAGGAAGAGACCGGGCAACCACCAGGACGGGAAGGCACCGCGCCCGCUGGAUAUGGGACGGGACCGCUCGGCUACCCUUGUGGAUUCUCCUUCUGCUAGAGGGGAAUUAUAGUUAUGGAUUUAUUGCCCCGGUGCAGCACUUCCAGCAGCAGCGGCAGCUUUCUGACUCUCUUCGGUGACGGGUAUUCUUGGGUGGAUAAUACGGAUUACGUUGUUAUUGCUUAAGAAUACGCGUAGUCGAGGAGAGUACCGGCGGCGGGCAGGCAGGCAGGCAGCGCGACCGCCCCCAGCCCACCAGCUGGCUCCCAACCUCCUCUAGUUGCCAAGGCUCCCAAGAGAGGGUGAGGGGUGACCUCUGAGCCCCUCCAAAACCAAAGCCUCAUGUCCACGCUCGCUAACUUUACCUGUUCUACGAGGGAAUUACAUCCUGCUGGAGCAUGGACACAUCGGAGGAGAAGCAGCAGCCCAGCUAGCACCGGACAGCUUGGUUUCUGGCACCUGGGGGAGCGGUGUCACGAGCUCCAGAAAUGAAAGGGAAACUGAAGCCUUGCAGCUGGCAUCUCCCGGACAGGCCCUCGCCAUGCGUGGCCACCGCGGAAGCAGCAGAGCUGCGCUCUGAGGGACCGCCUGGAGCCAGCAGCUUCGGGGGCAGCACUGCAAGGUGAGCCUCGGACCUGCCCGUGGUUGGCACUGACUGACUUCGGCCCCACCACAGCAGACAGAACGACAUCCCACGUCCCCUGGGACCCCGACCCAGCUCCACGUCCAGCAGAGAUGCCUGUGGUGCCAGUGCUGCCUUCGCCCUGCUCGCUGCUGCCUGCCUGCCUCCUCCGCUGGGCCACGGCUCGGCCCAGCCCCGUCCCCACGCACUGCGCCGCCAGGCCGCCUGGCAUUUCCAGCCAUCGCAACGUGCAGCGAAAAUGCAAUGUGAAACUGCUAGCGUGGCAUGAGCAGGCUGAGCUCGGUAGAAGUGCAAUUAAAUAAAAAGUCGUGCUGUAAUACUGGGAGGCUGAUUGGAACCACAAGAUACCAGUGUCGUAUCCUGCGGCUUUUGUGUUGGUAGAUGCAGAUUUUAGCCAUUAGCAUUUAGCUAUCCAACAGAUAACAACCAGAGGAAAUGGACCUGGGGAUCUCCAGUUGUGAAUAACAGAUACAUUUUUGCCAGUAAAUUGUGGACCUGGUAAACUGCCAGAAGGAAACAAUUGUUGAGAUAUGGAAGAAUACAAUCAGGCAUUUAAUAUGUGUCAGCUUCUAACUAUGUGUAACUUAAAGACACUCCCUGAUUACUCACAAUACAUUUAAAACAGUAUGUCAAGAGAGCUCUGACACCAGAGAACCCUUGCGUGGCUCUGUUGCCAACUCCAAAUACAGGCAAGUAAAUAAAUAGCAAUCACAAGACUCAACUGACGUAUCUGUGCGAAUGGUAACAAACCCAGGGCAGGUAUCACAGUAUCUAGGUUUGGUUAGAAUGCUAUAAGAAAAGAAUGAGAAAUAAGUAAAUAAUAUGGUAAUGUAAAAUGUACCUGUUAUUAACUUCUAUAAAAUCUUAACGGCUAGGAUUUUAGAAUGUGGUAUUUAGACAAAUGUAAAGAGAGCAACACAUUAAUUGUGUUUUUCUCCAGAGCAAAAUGAAAUCGGCAUACAGAGCAAAUUAUAAUACUUAAUACUUCUCGGACAAAUUCCAGUUGAGGAUCAUGAAGUAAUUUGAAAAUAUUAAUGAAUUAGCCUCACAGCUAGCUUUCAGGUAGAUAAUAAUGAUAAUUAUUACUACAAACAAAUAUUAUAAUUCUUGCUCUGAAAUGAAAAUUGAGGCACAGAGAUUUUAUGUAUUUGUCCAAAGUGUUUUACUACUGUAACCAUCCUUCUCUAGAAUUAUUGUAUGUGAAGCGUAUCCUUUUCCAAAUACUGUAUGCGACAUGCUAUUCAGUUUUUGAGCUCUAAAAGCCAAGCAGCUGAGCUUCCUUAUGAUACAGUGUCUGUGAACAUCUCCAUUUGCAUUUGAAUUCUCAAGCAGCAACAAUCCUGCUUAAACGAUAUAAAGAAAAAAGGAAUCAUGAAAAUCAGAGCAAAAUCUGUCAAGCACCCAUCUGUGAGUGGGUAUCAGAAUAUCGCUAAGAUGCUUUGAGGAACAAAGUUCACUCCAAGUCUAACACAUAGUACUUUUUGUCUACAGAAUUAAUUCAAGAUGGGUGAAAUGAGGGCAAAUAACAUGAAAAACUGUUCCUCUACUGACAAAUGCAGGAAAGCAGUAUCUCUGCUGCAAGGGUGAUCUUGUAUUUGGUCCAUGCACACUUGCUUAAAUACUAAAGGGUUUGCAUGGCAAAAUACUCAGCAUGUUCAAAUCUCCUUUUGAUAGGCAUGCAUACCUACUGCUUCCUGGGGAGUGUUGGAGAGAGAGGGCUCUCUGGCCCUGGUGGGAUGAGGACUUGGGUUAUGGAUGCUUGUGGCAAAAAGCAAGCUUUCAUAGCCUGCUACCUGAAGCAGUGCGGAAACAAAAGGAUAGAUUCCAUCCUGGUGUUGAAAAUACUGCUGAAACCACAUCUAUUUCCUCCUGAACUGGAAUGCAUAAAAGUUAGGAACACUAAUUUGGUAGGCUAUUUGUAUCUCCUCUUCAGCAUAUAAAUUCCUGAGAGCCUUCGUCUUAGCUCUUUGCCCUCACACAUGCGCAUUUGGAAUUAACUACAAGAAAUAGGAGAAAGCUGGCAUUAACAUUAUUCUAUUGCACCAUAUUAUUUUUCCUUCAAUUUUUCAACUGUUAGAGUAUGCAAAUGUUCAGUUAACUGGUCCUCAUGUUUUCUCUUUAUUGAAUUGCUUUCACUAUGGCAAAUAAAUAUUCAUAAAGAAAUGUGGACAAUAAAUCAUUUCCAGUAGUUCAAAGCCAUUUUCGUUCUAGACUGCAUAUAUAUUCAGCUGUGACUUGCUUUUAAUAUUUCAUUCAAAAGACAGACUUGUAGAAGGACAAUAAUGAUAAUGUGUCAAGUAGUAAUUAAAACAGGGGUUAAUGAUUAAAAACAUUUUGAUCUACAUUA